UCUGAGAUAAAUACAUUAGAUUGUGAUGUAAUGCAUUUAUAUAAUACAAUAGUGAAGAAUAAAAUACCCACUUUAAUCUCGAUAAAGCACCAAUAAUAUUGCUAAUAACAAUAUUGAAAUAUCUAAAAAUAUUUACUCAUGUGUAAAAGUAUUCUAUUAUUAAACUACAUUACUAAGUAUAUUGCUUACAUUUUUUAAGACAACUCUUUAUCAAAGUGCGCAUUUUAGAUUGCCUCCGGUACAAAUCGUUGUAUCUUUUCAGACAUUGUUUUCUUGUUCUUUUUUGUCCAGAUACUCUCCUCACUCUUCGCACCAUCUCACAUAGAAUUCUGUUUCUUGUGUCCUGAUCCAAAGUGAAAAUCCCUUUUUUCUUUUGGGGAAAAUAUUUAUCCAUAGUAUAGGAAAUAAGAAGAAUCCAUUAGAAAUCCAUGUAUUCCAUAUGAAAUAAAAACUGCGACAUAAAGGUCUUUCUAGAACAUAAGUUUACAGUAUACACCCUAUAUAUACCGUUUUCAUACCCUUUUCAUCAACUACAUAGAUACUUGUUUUGAAACCGUUAUAAAAAGACAACUUUAGUUUGUAUCAAAAAUAUUGUUAUUUUUUGUGCUCUUUAGUAUCUCAUUUUUACAAUGGCAUCUGCCCAAGCUGGAAACACCAAAAGCGGGAGAAGUAUAAUGUUUACUCAUCGGCAAAAUUGUAUUUUGGUAGAAUCGGUUAUCGAACACUACAAUGAAUUUAUUUUGUACCAAGCCAGAACUGUAAACCCACAGAGAAAAAGAUCAAUUUGGACACAAAUCAGUAGAUCUGUUUCAGCAGAAGGAAGUUUUCCUAAGGAUCUAAAGGCCUGUCGGAAGAGGGUAACUGAUAUUUGAAAAAACAUUAAGAAAAAGGUUUGCAGAGAAAACAAUCUUCCAAAGGAACCGGUGGAGGCCCCGGAUAUAGGGCAGAAUUAAUGGACUUUGAUCAGAUGCUUUAUGCAAGGAUGGGUGAUGCCGUUGUGGUUGGCCUGGAUGUUCCAGCAGACACUAUGGAUUUUAGAGUUAAGUUAAAGAGCAAGAACAUGAGGUACAUGAGGAAGAGGGGAUAGAUGCACAGGAAGAUCAACCUUUUGAAAAUGAAUAUACCUCUCAAGAGCAACAACCAUCCACCUCCACAGUACAAAGAGAAGAAGGGGCGAGUGUUCGUGAAUUACUACAAACCAUGCAGGACAGUUCUAUAUUAUUAUUCAAUGAAGAUCAUGUUGAAAUCAAUUUGGAACCUCUGGUUGAGGAUUCUGUAUGUCCAGAAGAUGAGGAUGAGACUCAAAUUGAGGGACACACACCAGAGGGACCAACCCCACCUAAUUUAGAAACUCCACAGAAUAUCAUGGACAAUGAAUCUGAGGAAGAUGAAAGACCAGAACAAUUGAUAAACCAAGAAGAUUUAACAGGCAGUGGAAAUGAAAUACAAAACCUCAGACAUGGCUUUGGGAUUCAGAAAUGAGCAAAGUGCUUUUUUUUAAAGAAAUGUUAAGAUUGCAAGAAGAAAGAAAUGCAGAAUUUAAAAGAAGAAUAGAAGAUUUUCUAAUCCAUAAUUACUUAUUAAUAUUUUUUGUUUUUGCACUUUAUUGUUGAAAAUACAUGUUCAAAGUUUUUCAUGUUGAAAAGUUGAGCACUCAUAUUUUUGUAAUGUUUAAGUUAGAUUUGCAAAACUGUUUGUUUAAAAAUGUUCAAUAAGUAUUUGCUAUAACAAUUUUAAAAAUUGUAUGUAAAUCUAAUAAAAAAUACAAGCUGUUGA
Molecule: long non-coding RNA, 1776 nt
Organism: Bombina bombina (fire-bellied toad)
Lineage: Eukaryota; Metazoa; Chordata; Amphibia; Anura; Bombinatoridae
Exons: 4
Source: RefSeq, a predicted model, not a curated record